UUCAUUUUCAUGCUCCCACUCCUGGCCCAGCUGGAAAAAAUCUUUAUCUGCUUUUGUUAAAAUGUUCUUCUGCUGAGCAACCCCUCCUACCCCUUAUAUUGAAAAUAACAACGAACACUGGAACAUUAUGUUCCCUUCGUCUGAGUUAACUUAUUUGAUCCACAACAUAGCCCUCUGCCUAAUGUAUCACUGUCAUCCCCAUUUCGCAGAUGAAGAAAACAAAGGUCAAUGAAGCUAUAAGUGAACUGCCCUCAGUCAACAAUAGCUAGUGAGUAACUGAUCAGGCUCACCCAGAGUUUCCGACUCCAAAGUCCGUGUUUUUUUCUCAAACACCUCCCUGCCUCUCAGAGGUGACACAUAGAGGGCAGAAGGAAAGGGGCAGGGGAUUGGGUUGCCUUAAAGAGGCGUCUGGUAUCUCUAAGGGAAGUUGUGGAAUCAUUGCCGGUGUGAGCUCCUCUCUGGAUGGGACGCCAGGCCAGAAAGGGAGAGGCACCUAUGCAGAUCUUCAUUCAUUCAUUCAUUUGUGAAACAAACCGGGCAGGCCAUGUGCUGAUAGACACAGCAGGUUCUGCUCUCUAGUGACUAACAUUGUAGGCGGGGAAACAAGCCAACAUAAUGAACGGAGGUACAAGGUGGACUGUGGCAAAGUGGCAACAGUCAUUCAUUUAUUCGACUAACAUUUUCCGGGUGCCUACUGGGUGCCAGGCUCUGUCCUGGGCUGUCACAGCCAAAUGAAGACACUCCCUACCUGCCAGGAUCCUCCAGCCCAGCAGCCAUGGAAGAUGGCUCUGACUGAGGCUCCGGUGGUCUUCCCACAAUGCCAUGGCCUUUCUCUUCAUCUCCCAGGGAGCUGUCACUUCCCUGGUUGCCAGAGAACCUUUAACACUGACUUGGGAAGGUAGGAACUCAUGUUCCCACACACCGGGAAUGUUCUCUGUUCUCACUCUCCCCCUCACCCCUUCUAUUAAAUAACCAAACCCCAAGACCCUCUUCUAGGCAGACCCAGGUGGCCUACCAGCCUCCACUACUGUCAGCACCCACUGGGUCCCCUUUGGAACGGCAGGGUCCUCCUCCAGCUCCUUGCCCCAGAGUCCAGCUCAGCCUGCAACCUAAUAUCUAAGGAGUGUGGGAAGACUUGGUCCCUGAAAACCUAGCUCUUGUCCUUAGCAGGUGACUAUCAGAUAGGGCAGUGGUGGAACCACCUCCCCACACCUGUUCCCAGGACACAGAUGUGGGCAGCUGGUUACCCAGCUGGCUUGGGCUGUGGACCCCAAUGAGUGAGAAGGGGGGCAGGAAUGGAAGGAGAUGGAGAAAGAUGUGGAGGCAUCGACCUAGAGGGCUGCUGAGAGAAGGGGAUCAGUUUGGGAAGGGAGAAGCUGAAGAGGAAGUCUUGGGCAGCCUUGGGGGGAACAGAGUUCAAGGCUGGAUGGAAGGCAACCUAGAGUGAAUUCCUGGACGUGGGAGUGGGGGGUUUCAGGAGGAGGAGUCCAGAGAUCAGGACUGAGAGCAUGUAGCACCUCUCAGCCUUAGCAGGAGCCCAGGGUAUUGAUUUGUUAGAUUACUCAAUUUCACCCAUAUUGAUCAGGUAAUUGUUUUAUCUCAGGUCUCAUUUGAGCUCUGCAUUCUCCUGGCCCCUUCCCUCUCCCUCUUAUUCCUUCCUAUCAGCCUGACCCAGGGCUCCUUGAUACUGAAUAUAGACACAAAAGUUUGGUUGGCCUGCCCCAAGUUCAUGUGUGUGUGUGUGUGGGGGGGGGUAUCAGGGUUAGAUGCGGGGAGGGAGACCAGCAUCCCCCUGGAGUCCCCGAGUUCUCUUCUGCAAGAAAUCCUUCCUGGCUCCAGACGGUAGACAUGUCUGCCCAUCUCGUGUCCUCAAAGGUCCCGAAAAGAGCUGGGGACGUAGAAUUAGUGGGCAACAGCUGCCAUCUGCCUUUUCCCACUGUGACCCCCCCCCCUCGACUCCCACUGCCCACCCCACUCCGAAGCCAGGCUUUUGGAUGUCUCUUCAUAAGGCUGCACAGCCUUGCCUGCACCCUCUUGCUACGUGUAAUGCCAGUUUCUCCCUGCCCUCUCUGCGGCCGUGUGUGUGUGUGUGUGUGUGUGUGUGUGUGUGUCCUUGCUGCCUGUGUGUUCUUCAUACUGUCACCCACUUCCUUGCUAUCUUCAGGGAGCCUUGGCCAAAUCUCCUCCGUGCUCACCCCUGACACCCCCACCUCCCCGCCCCAGGGCUUGGACAGAGGAAGAGGAACUAGGAAAGGAGACUCAGCCCCUCUUAGGGCGUCUACAGACUAAGGAAGGAGGGAUUCCCACGCUGACCCCUAGUCUGCAACCAGGUAAUCCCUAGUCUGAUGGAGAAGAUACGGUUUCCUCUGGGAGCCAACAGCUCCUGGCUUCCCAAAGCCCCCGGUCUGAGGGAAGAGACAGAACCCGUCUGAGAAACAGACAAGAAGAGCCCCACAGAGGUAAACAGACUGGGCCCAGAGGAGAGUGAACACAGCAGGAUCCUGGGCAAGAUCCAGUUCUCCCACUGCCUUCCAGAGCUCAGCCCAGGGCCCAGCUCAGAGGCCAGCGAGGCAGGGACUCAACAAACACUGCAACUGCAAUUUGCAAGCAGGACGGCCCCCAGCCCAGGUGUGGAGUUUGUGGGGUCAAGAGGACAUGUCCACCUUCGGCCAUGCCCCUUCUUCUGGCCCAGGGUCUGGGUUCAGGGAAUCAGCCUCCCUGAGGAGCGCCCAGGGGUGCGCAGUCUCUGCCCUGGGCCCACUCUCCUGACUCUUCCUCACAGACGCACCUGCGGGUGUCAGGAGUGGCCCAGGGCGCAACGAUUGUUAGCAUUAAAGCUCUGUUUUCGAAACUUCUACGGAGAACUCGGUUGAUAGAACUGAUACAAGCCCGUGUGACCCCCAAUAAGGCAGUUUCAUCCUCAUGGUUAUUGGUGUAACCCCCUCAAACACCUUGAAGUGCCAGAGAGCCAAUGUCAGGGCAAUCCGAAAAGCACUACGUUGCCCGAGCCGGUUUGGCUCAGUGAGUGAAGCACUGGCCUGCAGACUGAAGGGUCCUGGCUUCGACUCGGUCAAGGGCACAUGCCUUGGGUUCAGGCUUGAUCCCCAGGAGGGGGCAUACAGGAGG
Molecule: long non-coding RNA, 3126 nt
Organism: Pipistrellus kuhlii (Kuhl's pipistrelle)
Lineage: Eukaryota; Metazoa; Chordata; Mammalia; Chiroptera; Vespertilionidae
Exons: 3
Source: RefSeq, a predicted model, not a curated record